Molecule: ribosomal RNA, 496 nt
Filed under: uncultured bacterium
Lineage: Bacteria
Description: partial 16S ribosomal RNA
Rfam family: Bacterial small subunit ribosomal RNA
Source: RNAcentral
AUGAACGCUGGCGGCGUGCCUCAUACAUGCAAGUCGAGCGAACGGAUGAGAAGCUUGCUUCUCUGAUGUUAGCGGCGGACGGGUGAGUAACACGUGGAUAACCUACCUAUAAGACUGGGAUAACUUCGGGAAACCGGAGCUAAUACCGGAUAAUAUUUUGAACCGCAUGGUUCAAAAGUGAAAGACGGUCUUGCUGUCACUUAUAGAUGGAUCCGCGCUGCAUUAGCUAGUUGGUAAGGUAACGGCUUACCAAGGCAACGAUGCAUAGCCGACCUGAGAGGGUGAUCGGCCACACUGGAACUGAGACACGGUCCAGACUCCUACGGGAGGCAGCAGUAGGGAAUCUUCCGCAAUGGGCGAAAGCCUGACGGAGCAACGCCGCGUGAGUGAUGAAGGUCUUCGGAUCGUAAAACUCUGUUAUUAGGGAAGAACAUAUGUGUAAGUAACUGUGCACAUCUUGACGGUACCUAAUCAGAAAGCCACGGCUAACUACGUG